ACCCUAUUAUAAAAAUUCUAAAUUUGGAUUCUAAGGUAGUAUUAGUUAUGUUCUUGAAACUUAAAAAAUUUGGCGGUAUUUUAAACUAUUCAGAGGAACCUGUUCUGUAAUCGAUAAUCCACGAUGGACCUAACUUAAAUUUGUAAAUCAGUUUAUAUAUCGUUGUUAUAAAAAAUUUUUAAAAAAUAAUUAAUUUUUAAUAUUUUUAAUAAAAAUUUAUAUCAAAUCAAGGUGUAGCUUAUAUUUAAGAAGAAAUGGGUUACAAUAAAUUUAUUUAUGGAUAUAAUUAUGAAAAAAUUAUUGAAAAUGGAUUUGAAAGUAAAAUUAUAGAGAUAAAUAAUUUGACUAUAGCUCUAAAAUAUGUACAUAUCGCCCGUCACUCUUGUUAUUAAGAUAAGAUAAGUCGUAACAAA
RNAcentral lists this ribosomal RNA (413 nucleotides) under Megistopoda aranea. RNAcentral describes it as "partial small subunit ribosomal RNA". Lineage: Eukaryota; Metazoa; Arthropoda; Insecta; Diptera; Streblidae. The record is from RNAcentral.